This 628-nucleotide ribosomal RNA is filed under the name Chtenopteryx sicula. RNAcentral's name for it is "partial 28S ribosomal RNA". The stretch from base 495 to 628 matches the Rfam family "Eukaryotic large subunit ribosomal RNA", at positions 813 to 946 of the family's 3401-position model. RNAcentral also lists the same sequence under 1 other name. The record is from RNAcentral. Lineage: Eukaryota; Metazoa; Mollusca; Cephalopoda; Oegopsida; Chtenopterygidae.
CCGAGGAGUCCUGGCCGUUCGCGAGUCGUAGGGGCCCCCCUGUCGAACCCCGGAGGCGUAGCGAAAGCGAGAGAGCGUGUCGGAGGGCACCGGAUUGGGAGAGGUGUUUCGGCGAAGUUGUUUAGGGUUGGUCGGUCGGGGGGUUGGGGAUUCGUCUCUUUCUCUUUGGCCUUCCUCUUCCGGCUUCCGAGCCGUGCCCGAUCCCGCUGGCGCGACGAGUUCCUUAAACUUUCCGUCGUCCACCCCGCGUGCGCUGUUAUCGCCGUCGUCUUCGGAUUUUCCCUUCGUGGGAGAUGAUGUUUGUGGCGGCGGCGGGCGUACGUGUCGGGUUGCGCACGGCGGCGUCACCUUCCUCCGUCCGCCCGACGGUGAGAUCCCGCGGCUUGAACCAGUACAAUUUUGUUCGUCGAGUUUAGGCACUGCACGCGGGCGCAUCACCCCCGGGUCGGAUUCCGAGUACGACUCGGCCGACUCUGGCGUAGCGAGCGGCCAGGGACCCGAAAGAUGGCGAUCCACGCCCGGUCGGGAUGAAGCCAGAGGAAACUCUGGUGGAAGUCCGAAGCGCCUCUGACGUGCAAAUCGAUCGUCGGAACCGGGUGUAGGGGCGAAAGACCAAUCGAGCCGUCUA